Molecule: ribosomal RNA, 358 nt
Filed under: Escherichia coli
Lineage: Bacteria; Pseudomonadati; Pseudomonadota; Gammaproteobacteria; Enterobacterales; Enterobacteriaceae
Also listed under: 3 other names
Description: bacterial LSU rRNA
Rfam family: Bacterial large subunit ribosomal RNA
Source: RNAcentral
CAUAGGUUAAUGAGGCGAACCGGGGGAACUGAAACAUCUAAGUACCCCGAGGAAAAGAAAUCAACCGAGAUUCCCCCAGUAGCGGCGAGCGAACGGGGAGCAGCCCAGAGCCUGAAUCAGUAUGUGUGUUAGUGGAAGCGUCUGGAAAGGCGCGCGAUACAGGGUGACAGCCCCGUACACAAAAAUGCACAUGCUGUGAGCUCGAUGAGUAGGGCGGGACACGUGGUAUCCUGUCUGAAUAUGGGGGGACCAUCCUCCAAGGCUAAAUACUCCUGACUGACCGAUAGUGAACCAGUACCGUGAGGGAAAGGCGAAAAGAACCCCGGCGAGGGGAGUGAAAAAGAACCUGAAACCGUGU